RNAcentral lists this ribosomal RNA (31 nucleotides) under Humicola parvispora. Its description in RNAcentral is "partial 28S ribosomal RNA". Lineage: Eukaryota; Fungi; Ascomycota; Sordariomycetes; Sordariales; Chaetomiaceae. The record is from RNAcentral.
ACCCCCACAUUUUGACCUCGGAUCAGGUAGG